UACGGAGGGUGCAAGCGUUAAUCGGAAUUACUGGGCGUAAAGCGCACGUAGGCGGUUUGCUAAGUCAGCUGUGAAAUCCCCGGGCUCAACCUGGGCACUGCAGUUGAAACUGGCAAGCUAGAGUAGGGUAGAGGGGUGUGGAAUUCCAGGUGUAGCGGUGAAAUGCGUAGAUAUCUGGAGGAACAUCAGUGGCGAAGGCGACACCCUGGACUCAUACCGACACUGAGGUGCGAAAGCGUGGGGAGCAAACAGG
Molecule: ribosomal RNA, 253 nt
Filed under: uncultured bacterium
Lineage: Bacteria
Description: partial 16S ribosomal RNA
Rfam family: Bacterial small subunit ribosomal RNA
Source: RNAcentral